This 522-nucleotide ribosomal RNA is filed under the name uncultured bacterium. Its description in RNAcentral is "bacterial SSU rRNA". It matches the Rfam family "Bacterial small subunit ribosomal RNA", at positions 370 to 883 of the family's 1533-position model. The record is from RNAcentral.
AAUGGACGAAAGUCUGACGGAGCAACGCCGCGUGAGUGAAGAAGGUUUUCGGAUCGUAAAACUCUGUUUUCAGGGACGAAUGUGUGGAUUGUAAAUAAUGAUCCAUAAUGACGGUACCUGACAAGAAAGCCACGGCUAACUACGUGCCAGCAGCCGCGGUAAUACGUAGGUGGCAAGCGUUGUCCGGAAUUAUUGGGCGUAAAGCGCGCGCAGGUGGGAUAAUCAGUCUGAUGUUAAAGUUCGGGGCUUAACCCCGUGAAGCAUUGGAUACUGUUAUUCUUGAGUGCAGGAGAGGAAAGUGGAAUUCCUAGUGUAGCGGUGAAAUGCGUAGAUAUUAGGAGGAACACCAGUGGCGAAGGCGACUUUCUGGACUGUGUCUGACACUGAGGCGCGAAAGCCAGGGUAGUGAACGGGAUUAGAUACCCCGGUAAUCCUGGCCGUAAACGAUGGGUACUAGGUGUUGGGGGUAUCGACCCCUCCAGUGCCGGAGUUAACGCAAUAAGUACCCCGCCUGGGGAGUAG